RNAcentral lists this ribosomal RNA (253 nucleotides) under uncultured bacterium. RNAcentral describes it as "partial 16S ribosomal RNA". It matches the Rfam family "Bacterial small subunit ribosomal RNA", at positions 524 to 776 of the family's 1533-position model. The record is from RNAcentral.
UACGAAGGGUGCAAGCGUUACUCGGAAUUACUGGGCGUAAAGCGUGCGUAGGCGGUUCGUUAAGUCUGUCGUGAAAGCCCUGGGCUCAACCUGGGAAUUGCGAUGGAUACUGGCGAGCUAGAGUACGGUAGAGGAUGGUGGAAUUCCCGGUGUAGCGGUGAAAUGCGUAGAGAUCGGGAGGAACACCCGUGGCGAAGGCGGCCAUCUGGACCAGUACUGACGCUGAGGCACGAAAGCGUGGGGAGCGAACGGG